Molecule: ribosomal RNA, 332 nt
Filed under: uncultured bacterium
Lineage: Bacteria
Description: partial 16S ribosomal RNA
Rfam family: Bacterial small subunit ribosomal RNA
Source: RNAcentral
CCUACGGGAGGCAGCAGUGAGGAAUAUUGGUCAAUGGGCGGAAGCCUGAACCAGCCAAGUAGCGUGCAGGAUGACGGCCCUACGGGUUGUAAACUGCUUUUAUACGGGAAUAACGCGCCUUACGUGUAGGGCUUUGCAUGUACCGUAUGAAUAAGGACCGGCUAAUUCCGUGCCAGCAGCCGCGGUAAUACGGAAGGUCCGGGCGUUAUCCGGAUUUAUUGGGUUUAAGGGGAGCGUAGGUCGCAUGUCAAGCGUGCUGUGAAAUGUCCGGGCUCAACCCGGGCCGUGUAGCGCGUACUGGCGUGCUUGAGUGCGCAGAAGGCGGGCGGAAU